RNAcentral lists this long non-coding RNA (796 nucleotides) under Lupinus angustifolius (narrow-leaved blue lupine). RNAcentral describes it as "long non-coding RNA (LANG_LNC002074)". The record is from RNAcentral. Lineage: Eukaryota; Viridiplantae; Streptophyta; Magnoliopsida; Fabales; Fabaceae.
CCUCCACCAAAAAAAGCGAGCUCCCUCUGUUGAAAAUGGAAAUUCUCAAAAUUUUCAAUCUCUCCCUCUUCUUCUUUUCUCUCUGUUCCAAUCUCAAAACAAAACACUGUAUAUAUAUACCUCCCCAGAACAAACAUAUCCUCACUCCAUAUUCAAUUACUAAUCCAUUCCCUUCAUAUCUAUAUCUCUAUUCCCAAACACCACCGAAUAUUCUGAGCCAUGAAGACUGAGCAGAACAACAAAGAGAACGUUCCUCCAUUCUGUAACACAAUGAAGGCAAAGUUCAAGAAGAGCCCAAUUUCGCAGAAAGCGAAGAUUCCAUCUUUUAAGAGUAUUGGAAAUGGGAUUCAACGAAAGCCUAAGAGAAUCCCUCUUUCUGAUAUCACUGAUCUGUUCAAUAACUCUUCAACCUUCACUAUUUCCCACCACCACCGCCAAAUCAAUGAUUUAGUUUCUGAAAUUCCUUCUGUGUCAAUUUCUCGGUGGAGGGCACAAGUGGCUUCACCUUCCAAAUCAUUGAGGAUGGGAUUUAGAUGAUAGUUAUAUUUGUAUAAUAAUUCAUGAUUGUGUUCAAUUUUGAUCUCUCUAGUUUGUUAUUUAAUAUAUAAACAUUCAAUUCAAUUAUGAUCUCUUCCAUUUUGUAGUUUAUAUGCUAUUGGAUUUGGAACUUGAGUAAAGUCCACCUUUCACUUUCAAUAUCUGCAAUUUCAAAGUGAAGAUUUUAUUAUCUGUUUAAUGUUGUUUGACGAAGACAGUGUUUUAAAUUACAAUCACAACUGCAAUAAUACAAUUUUGU